GCUCUUCAGCGGUCAACGAAAUCGGCGCAUACAUCGAGCGACACAGAUUUCAGCUCCCGGAACCACACGUGGACGCCUGCACCAGCGGUCACAUCAACCCCUCCUGUCCCAUGCGCAAGGGCAACGUGUACACCUACCGCUACACGCUGCCGGUCCGGGAGAUCUAUCCUGCGACGCCAGCGACAAUUGAAUACAAGCUGGUCACUCGAGAAGGUAAGGUCAUUGGGUGCAGCCACGUUCCUGUCGUGAUCUUCAGAUGAUGGGAGAUGGUUUCACCAAAUAUUCAACGCAGUGAAGUUCACGAAGGUAUUAUGACCGCCGUCGUUUGAAUAAAUAUGAAUGUAGUCAAAACCCGA
Long non-coding RNA from Rhipicephalus microplus (southern cattle tick), 356 nucleotides. The record is from RefSeq and is a predicted model, not a curated record. NCBI's taxonomy places the organism in Eukaryota, Metazoa, Arthropoda, Arachnida, Ixodida, Ixodidae.